RNAcentral lists this unclassified non-coding RNA (339 nucleotides) under soil metagenome. RNAcentral describes it as "partial contains 5.8S ribosomal RNA, internal transcribed spacer 2, and large subunit ribosomal RNA". The stretch from base 1 to 120 matches the Rfam family "5.8S ribosomal RNA", at positions 35 to 154 of the family's 154-position model. The record is from RNAcentral.
GAUGAAGAACGUAGCGAAAUGCGAUACGUAGUGUGAAUUGCAGAAUUCAGUGAAUCAUCGAAUCUUUGAACGCACAUUGCACCUCUCGGUAUUCCGGGAGGUAUGCCUGUUCGAGCGUCAUUUGUACCCUCAAGCUCUGCUUGGUGUUGGGUGUUUGUUCCGCCUCUGUGUGUGAACUCGCCUCAAAACAAUUGGCAGCCGGCGUACUUGUUUCGGAGCGCAGCACAUUUUGCGAUCCAGAUCAACGUACAGCGGCAUCCAAGAAGCCUUAUUUAACGCUCUUGACCUCGGAUCAGGUAGGGAUACCCGCUGAACUUAAGAAUAUCAAUAAGCGGAGGA